GACGAACGCUGGCGGCGUGCUUAACACAUGCAAGUCGAACGAAGAGCGAUGGAAGCUUGCUUCUAUCAAUCUUAGUGGCGAACGGGUGAGUAACGCGUAAUCAACCUGCCCUUCAGAGGGGGACAACAGUUGGAAACGACUGCUAAUACCGCAUACGAUCUAAUCUCGGCAUCGAGGAUAGAUGAAAGGUGGCCUCUACAUGUAAGCUAUCACUGAAGGAGGGGAUUGCGUCUGAUUAGCUAGUUGGAGGGGUAACGGCCCACCAAGGCGAUGAUCAGUAGCCGGUCUGGGAGGAUGAACGGCCACAUUGGGACUGAGACACCGCCCCGACUCCUACGGGGGGCAGCAGGGGGGAAUCUUCCGCAAUGGACGAAAGUCUGACGGAGCAACGCCGCGGGAGGGAUGACGGCCUUCGGGUUGUAAAGCUCUGUUAAUCGGGACGAAAGGCCUUCUUGCGAAUAGUGAGAAGGAUUGACGGUACCGGAAGAGAAAGCCACGGCUAACUACGUG
Molecule: ribosomal RNA, 510 nt
Filed under: uncultured bacterium
Lineage: Bacteria
Description: partial 16S ribosomal RNA
Rfam family: Bacterial small subunit ribosomal RNA
Source: RNAcentral